Neodiprion virginianus is the source of this 359-nucleotide long non-coding RNA. RefSeq lists it as uncharacterized. The record is from RefSeq and is a predicted model, not a curated record. Lineage: Eukaryota; Metazoa; Arthropoda; Insecta; Hymenoptera; Diprionidae. The transcript is spliced from 3 exons.
AUUUAAGAGUUUGAAGAAGAUCCUGAAAGACAACGAUCUCUAAGACACUAUCUUAUUAACGUUGGUGGUGUCACAGCUAGAGAUGCUCUCAACCAAUUUCUGAAGGAAGCCAUGACGGAUAGCCUGACACAAAAAUUCUCUUGGACUGGAAAGUCUGUUUCAGAUAAAGAGAAUCUCCGACCGUUAUUUAAUACCUGUAUCGGAAAGGUAUUUUUUGGUUUCGAUGAUUGUUUACGCAGAUGCUUUACGUGAGUGUUGAACAAUACCACAGCCACAUGAUCGUACAGAAUUUGCGAGACUGAUGCAAGAGGCAAUUCGGGGCGCACGAAAAAGAUUGCAGGAUGCAAAACGACGUGCCA